This 87-nucleotide transfer RNA is filed under the name Halobacteriovoraceae bacterium. RNAcentral's name for it is "tRNA-Leu". It matches the Rfam family "tRNA". From Rfam's summary of the family: Transfer RNA (tRNA) molecules are approximately 80 nucleotides in length. Their secondary structure includes four short double-helical elements and three loops (D, anti-codon, and T loops). Further hydrogen bonds mediate the characteristic L-shaped molecular structure. tRNAs have two regions of fundamental functional importance: the anti-codon, which is responsible for specific mRNA codon recognition, and the 3' end, to which the tRNAs corresponding amino acid is attached (by aminoacyl-tRNA synthetases). tRNAs cope with the degeneracy of the genetic code in two manners: having more than one tRNA (with a specific anti-codon) for a particular amino acid; and 'wobble' base-pairing, i.e. permitting non-standard base-pairing at the 3rd anti-codon position. Lineage: Bacteria; Pseudomonadati; Bdellovibrionota; Bacteriovoracia; Bacteriovoracales; Halobacteriovoraceae. The record is from RNAcentral.
GCGGAAGUGCUGGAAUUGGUAGACAGGCAUGGUUGAGGGCCAUGUGUCCGUUAGGAUGUGAGGGUUCAAGUCCCUCCUUCCGCACCA